AAUAAUGAAGAUUCAAACUCCACUGUCUAGCACCUGACUACCUUACAUCUCUCACCCUUUGGCUCCUUCCUCAAUUAUUUACGUUUUAAACCUCUCUUUUCCUCAUAAAGCAAUUUGAAUAACCAGGCGAGUUUAAAGGAUUUGGGAGCCUGACCUGAUGUAGCCACAAGGGGGCAGCAGAGGGUGAGGAUGGGCCAGAGCCUUUCAGCGCCACAAGGAAGCAACAGCACUGAUUCAGAAAUAGCACCAGCUGUCCUGAAUUAAUGGCUUGACCCUCUGCUUUCUUAUCUGGAAUUCUGGAGUGCAUCUUACAUCAGAUGAAAUACAGCAUGGAAACAUCUGUACUAUAUCUGAAAAAGUAGACCUGGAAUCCUGGCUUUGAAUCACGACUCUUCCAUUGUUUUCAAAAAGUCAAAUAGUUAUCGACUGAUGCCUCCUGAGUCCAAGGCCCUGUGCUAAGUAUCUGGAAUCAGAUCAUAAGAACAGAUAAUAUUCAUGGGACGUUAGUGUGGUGCCAAACACUUUUAUUUCAUCCCCCGUUCCCUAGGCAGGGUACAUUCUUAUUGUCCUCAUUUACAGAUGAGGGACCCAAGCCUUGGAGAGGCUUAUUAACUUCCCAAGGCCAUACAGCGAGUGAGCCAGGAGUCCAACCCCAAUAUUCCUGCUCCACAGCUCCUGCUCUGAAUCGCUUUACUGUGGUCUGUUCUGUCCCAUCUUAUCAAAUAAUACGGCUCCUGAUCUUGAAAGAGAGCGGUUUAGGGAAAGAAAAAGCGCUGUGAAGAGAGAAGUAGUGCUUCCAGUUCGCACGUGAGGCAAUCAAGGAAGAACUUGGAACGGCUCGGGCUGGGUCCAGUUGACAGAGGAGAUGGGCUCUGAAGUGACAGCUGAGCUGGUCCAAUCCACGCGACAUAACAGCUUGGCUGUUGCAUUGUCACCAGCUGAAGGAAGUCACCCAUAAUGGUGGCCACCAUGAGAACCAGUCAGCAGGCAAAGGACUUUGUGGAACUACCAAGAGAUGUGUUUCUUAAGAUGCCUUUCUUCUUCGUUCCACCUGCUGGCACAAGGAGCUGGAAGAGCCGCUCACCACGAGGCCCCACGCACAGGCCAACCAGAACUCCAGGUUCUCUUCGCUGAACUCCGUCUUCAAGAAAGCGUGGAAGGCAGCCACUCCAUCUGGGUUUGCAGGAAGAGAGGAAGAGACAGGGGCCCCAGGCCGGCCGGCAGGACUCACCCGUCUUUGCUGUGUUUACUGCCCCACUCAAAUUUGCCAACACUUGCGGGAUCGGAGCCCAGCUCUGACUUGUGAAGAAAGAUCCCCAGCCGGGUCUUGAACUCUUUGGCUCUGGAAGACAACACAUGAGCAUGUGAGGAAUCUCCAGUUGCUUGGCCAGGGCAGAGAGAUUGAGGGGGUCCCAGAAGAGCUCACGCUGGCGCCCCCCCAAAUUCCAGCCCCAAAGCUUCCUGGGACACUUGGCUAUUCCCAGGGCAUAAACGUUGCUUCUCUCAUCAGUAUCAUGAACCCAGAAACAAUGAAAGCAGUCUUUGAGCUGUGCCUCCAUAGGUCUUAUACUUUCUGGGUCUACAAUACAGCUGUAUUCAUGGGCUUUUUGGCAUUAAGUCACACCAAUCUAUCUUUGUGCCAGCUGAUGAGCAGAAGGCAGUUCAGCACACUCUGGGCUUGUCACAAAUAUUUCUAGAACUGUGUGGAAGUUGAUUUCUACCUUCAUCUUUACUUUUUCUUUCCCAGUCACCAGCUUCAGCAAAGAUUGGUGAGGCUGAGAAGCCCCCUGGGAAGUGGGCACAUCUCUCACCAGGUGGGGGGAAGGGGGGGACGCUGAAAAACACUUCCCUGGCUUCCCAGCACCUGAGGAGGCCAGGGCCCUAGCUCUGGGCUUUAAAACGAAAACCAAGUGCUUAAGAAACCAGGGAAGACAGUUCUGCCUGGUGAUGCCAACACCAGGUCUUCCUGCAGCCGAGACUUCAGCAGGUCAGCCAGGUAGAACUGCAACUUGUAUCAGAGGAUGGGGAAUGCCAAUAAGCAGCGGACCCUCUGCUUCCCUUUAAUUCGCCUUCUCCCUUCUGGUGGUCCACCCUCCACUAAGACUCUAAGGGAGGCAUCUGUGAACGCGGAACCAAGUUGACCUCCGCCUUUCAAGUUACUAGCGUCCCAUGCUCCUGUCCACCCAGGUCCCCAAGGCUGCCGCUCCGCUUCCUAAGGUUGAUGGGACUUGAACUUCUUUCUCCAGGCAGCUGGACAAGCUCCCCUUACCUCUCCAGGCAGGUGGUGGGGAAGGCAGCCAGGGUCCGGCACAUGGCUGCUGAUGCAGGGCAGCACGUC
Phacochoerus africanus (Common warthog) is the source of this 2338-nucleotide long non-coding RNA. RefSeq lists it as uncharacterized. Lineage: Eukaryota; Metazoa; Chordata; Mammalia; Artiodactyla; Suidae. The transcript is spliced from 5 exons. The record is from RefSeq and is a predicted model, not a curated record.